GAUGAAGAACGCAGCGAAAUGCGAUAAGUAGUGUGAAUUGCAGAAUUCAGUGAAUCAUCGAAUCUUUGAACGCACAUUGCGGCCAUAGGUAUUCCUUUGGCCAUGCCUGUUCGAGCGUCAUUUACACCCUCAAGCCUAGCUUGGUGUUGGGCGUCUGUCCCGCCGUUCUCGCGCGCGGACUCGCCUCAAAGUCAUUGGCGGCGGUCGUGCCGGCCCCCACGCGCAGCACAUUUGCGCUUCUCGGAGGCCCGGCGGAUCCGCGCUCCAGCAAGACCUUUCACGACUUGACCUCGGAUCAGGUAGGGAUACCCGCUGAACUUAAGCAUAUCAAUAAGCGGAGGA
Molecule: unclassified non-coding RNA, 342 nt
Filed under: soil metagenome
Description: partial contains 5.8S ribosomal RNA, internal transcribed spacer 2, and large subunit ribosomal RNA
Rfam family: 5.8S ribosomal RNA (bases 1-120)
Source: RNAcentral